UGGGGAAUAUUGGACAAUGGGCGCAAGCCUGAUCCAGCAAUGCCGCGUGUGUGAAGAAGGCCCUCGGGUUGUAAAGCACUUUUAUCAGGAGCGAAAUCUGCAAGGCUAAUACCCUUGUAGUCUGACGGUACCUGAGGAAUAAGCACCGGCUAACUCCGUGCCAGCAGCCGCGGUAAUACGGAGGGUGCAAGCGUUAAUCGGAAUUACUGGGCGUAAAGCGUGUGUAGGCGGUUUGUUAAGUCUGUUGUGAAAGCCCCGGGCUCAACCUGGGAAUGGCAAUGGAUACUGGCAAGCUAGAGUGUGAUAGAGGAUGGUGGAAUUCCCGGUGUAGCGGUGAAAUGCGUAGAGAUCGGGAGGAACAUCAGUGGCGAAGGCGGCCAUCUGGAUCAACACUGACGCUGAGACACGAAAGCGUGGGGAGCAAAACAGGAUUAGAUACCCUGGUAGUCCACGCCCUAAAACGAUGCGAACUGGAUGUUGGUCUCAACUCGGAGAUCAGUGUCGAAGCUAACGCGUUAAGUUCGCCGCCUGGGGAGUACGGUCGCAAGACUG
RNAcentral lists this ribosomal RNA (552 nucleotides) under uncultured bacterium. RNAcentral's name for it is "partial 16S ribosomal RNA". It matches the Rfam family "Bacterial small subunit ribosomal RNA", at positions 355 to 896 of the family's 1533-position model. The record is from RNAcentral.